UUGCUUGGGCAGAACAUAUACUAAAAUUGGAACGAUACAGAGAAGAUUAGCAUGGCCCCUGCGCAAGGAUGACACGACUAUGAUGACAUUAGAGAUUUAG
Small nuclear RNA from Musca vetustissima, 100 nucleotides. Lineage: Eukaryota; Metazoa; Arthropoda; Insecta; Diptera; Muscidae. The record is from RefSeq and is a predicted model, not a curated record.